This 506-nucleotide ribosomal RNA is filed under the name uncultured bacterium. RNAcentral describes it as "partial 16S ribosomal RNA". It matches the Rfam family "Bacterial small subunit ribosomal RNA", at positions 30 to 523 of the family's 1533-position model. The record is from RNAcentral.
AUUGAACGCUGGCGGCAGGCCUAACACAUGCAAGUCGAACGGCAGCGGGGGAUAGCUUGCUAUCCUGCCGGCGAGUGGCGGACGGGUGAGUAAUGCAUGGGGAGCUGCCCAGUCGAGGGGGAUAACAACUGGAAACGGUUGCUAAUACCGCAUACGCCCUAAGGGGGAAAGGUGGGGAACUUCGGUCCUACCGCGAUUGGAUGCGCCCAUGUGGGAUUAGCUAGUUGGUGAGGUAACGGCUGACCAAGGCGACGAUCUCUAGCUGGUCUGAGAGGAUGACCAGCCACACUGGAACUGAGACACGGUCCAGACUCCCACGGGAGGCAGCAGUGGGGAAUAUUGCACAAUGGGGGAAACCCUGAUGCAGCCAUGCCGCGUGUGUGAAGAAGGCCUUCGGGUUGUAAAGCACUUUCAGUCAGGAGGAAGGUGGUAAGGCUAAUAUCCUUAUCAAUUGACGUUACUGACAGAAGAAGCACCGGCUAACUCCGUGCCAGCAGCCGCAGUAA